This 253-nucleotide ribosomal RNA is filed under the name uncultured bacterium. RNAcentral's name for it is "partial 16S ribosomal RNA". It matches the Rfam family "Bacterial small subunit ribosomal RNA", at positions 524 to 776 of the family's 1533-position model. The record is from RNAcentral.
UACGAAGGGGGCUAGCGUUGUUCGGAAUUACUGGGCGUAAAGCGCACGUAGGCGGAUAUUUAAGUCAGGGGUGAAAUCCCAGAGCUCAACUCUGGAACUGCCUUUGAUACUGGGUAUCUCGAGUAUGGAAGAGGUGAGUGGAAUUCCGAGUGUAGAGGUGAAAUUCGUAGAUAUUCGGAAGAACACCAGUGGCGAAGGCGACUUACUGGACACAUAUUGACGCUGAGGUGCGAAAGCGUGGGGAGCAAACAGG